CCUACGGGAGGCAGCAGUGGGGAAUCUUGCGCAAUGGGCGAAAGCCUGACGCAGCCAUGCCGCGUGAAUGAUGAAGGUCUUAGGAUUGUAAAAUUCUUUCACCGGGGACGAUAAUGACGGUACCCGGAGAAGAAGCCCCGGCUAACUUCGUGCCAGCAGCCGCGGUAAUACGAAGGGGGCUAGCGUUGCUCGGAAUUACUGGGCGUAAAGGGAGCGUAGGCGGAUAGUUUAGUCAGAGGUGAAAGCCCAGGGCUCAACCUUGGAAUUGCCUUUGAUACUGGCUAUCUUGAGUACGGAAGAGGUAUGUGGAACUCCGAGUGUAGAGGUGAAAUUCGUAGAUAUUCGGAAGAACACCAGUGGCGAAGGCGACAUACUGGUCCGUUACUGACGCUGAGGCUCGAAAGCGUGGGGAGCAAACAGGAUUAGAUACCCUGGUAGUCCACGCUGUAAACGAUGAGUGCUAGUUGUCGGCACGUCNCUANCGACUAGUCGGUCGGUACGGACGACGACGUACCGUACCGACUAAGUAACGACGUACCGUCCCGUCCGGGUACGGGUACGGUUACCGGUACCGACGAACGUAAACUUAAACUAAACUAAGUAAGUAGUACGGUACGGUCGUAGACGUACGUCGACCGACGACGACGACGGAGGGAGGAG
Molecule: ribosomal RNA, 660 nt
Filed under: uncultured bacterium
Lineage: Bacteria
Description: bacterial SSU rRNA
Rfam family: Bacterial small subunit ribosomal RNA (bases 1-589)
Source: RNAcentral